GGCGGACGGGUGAGCAAUAUUUGGGAAUCUGCCUAUUAGUGGGGGACAACCCGGGGAAACUCGGGCUAAUACCGCAUACGCACUACGGUGGAAAGCCGGGGACCGCAAGGCCUGGCGCUAAUAGAUGAGCCCAAAUCGGAUUAGCUAGUUGGUGGGGUAACGGCUCACCAAGGCGACAAUCCGUAGCUGGUCUGAGAGGACGACCAGCCACACCGGAACUGAGACACGGUCCGGACUCAAUACGGGAGGCAGCAGUGGAGAAUAUUGGACAAUGGGGGCAACCCUGAUCCAGCGACGCCGCGUGGGUGAAGAAGGCCUGCGGGUUGUAAAGCCCUUUCGGUGGGGAAGAAAAGCCUCGUUUUAAUACAGCGGGGUCUUGACGUAACCCAUAGAAGAAGCACCGGCUAACUCUGUGCCAGCCGCCGCGG
This 428-nucleotide ribosomal RNA is filed under the name uncultured bacterium. Its description in RNAcentral is "bacterial SSU rRNA". It matches the Rfam family "Bacterial small subunit ribosomal RNA", at positions 97 to 520 of the family's 1533-position model. The record is from RNAcentral.